UGGGGAAUAUUGGACAAUGGGCGAAAGCCUGAUCCAGCCAUGCCGCGUGUGUGAAGAAGGUCUUCGGAUUGUAAAGCACUUUAAGUUGGGAGGAAGGGCAGUAAGCGAAUACCUUGCUGUUUUGACGUUACCGACAGAAUAAGCACCGGCUAACUCUGUGCCAGCAGCCGCGGUAAUACAGAGGGUGCAAGCGUUAAUCGGAAUUACUGGGCGUAAAGCGCGCGUAGGUGGUUCGUUAAGUUGAAUGUGAAAGCCCCGGGCUCAACCUGGGAACUGCAUCCAAUACUGGCGAGCUAGAGUAGGGCAGAGGGUGGUGGAAUUUCCUGUGUAGCGGUGAAAGGCGUAGAUAUAGGAAGGAACACCAGUGGCGAGGGCGACCACCUGGGCUCAUACUGACACUGAGGUGCGAAAGCGUGGGGAGCAAACAGG
RNAcentral lists this ribosomal RNA (429 nucleotides) under Pseudomonadota bacterium. Its description in RNAcentral is "Proteobacteria bacterium partial 16S ribosomal RNA". It matches the Rfam family "Bacterial small subunit ribosomal RNA", at positions 355 to 776 of the family's 1533-position model. Lineage: Bacteria; Pseudomonadati; Pseudomonadota. The record is from RNAcentral.